CCCCGGAAGAAUAAAAGUUCGUAAACAAAAGUUCCGUAAGUGACCCUUGGAAAGGAUCAUA
This 61-nucleotide ribosomal RNA is filed under the name Tricholoma terreum. Its description in RNAcentral is "partial 18S ribosomal RNA". Lineage: Eukaryota; Fungi; Basidiomycota; Agaricomycetes; Agaricales; Tricholomataceae. The record is from RNAcentral.